CCAAGCAACUAAGCGCACACGGUGGAUGCCUUGGCGGCAGAAGGCGAUGAAGGACGUGAUAGCCUGCGAUAAGCCACGGAGAGCUGGCAAUAAGCUUUGACCCGUGGAUUUCCGAAUGGGGAAACCCGGCCAGUAAUGGUCAUCCUGAUCUGAAUACAUAGGGUCAGGAAGCGAACCCGGAGAACUGAAAUAUCUAAGUACCCGGAGGAAAAGAAAUCAACCGAGAUUCCCUAAGUAGCGACGAGCGAACGGGGACUAGCCCUUAAGCCUCUUUUGUUUUAGUAGAACGGUCUGGAAAGUCCGGCCAUAGUUGGUGAUAGCCCAGUAUACGAAAAGACAAUUGAGGUGAAAUCGAGUAAGGCGAGGCACGUGAAACCUUGUCUGAAUAUGGGGGGACCAUCCUCCAAGGCUAAAUACUCUCUGCCGACCGAUAGUGAACCAGUACCGUGAGGGAAAGGCGAAAAGAACCCCGGAGAGGGGAGUGAAAUAGAACCUGAAACCGUGUGCGUACAAGCAGUCGGAGCCUGGAUUUAUCCGGGUGACGGCGUACCUUUUGUAUUAUGGGUCAGCGACUUACUUUUUGUGGCAAGCUUAACCGUUUAGGGAAGGCGAAGGGAAACCGAGUCUUAAUAGGGCGAAUAGUCGCAAGGAGUAGACCCGAAACCGAGUGAUCUAGCCAUGGGCAGGGUGAAGGUGAGGUAACACUUACUGGAGGCCCGAACCCACUAAUGUUGAAAAAUUAGGGGAUGACCUGUGGCUAGGAGUGAAAGGCUAAACAAACUCGGAGAUAGCUGGUUCUCCUCGAAAGCUAUUUAGGUAGCGCCUCGUGUCUCACUCCUGGGGGUAGAGCACUGUUAUGGCUAGGGGGUCAUACCGACUUACCAAACCAUGGCAAACUCCGAAUACCAGGAAGUGCAAUCACGGGAGACAGACGGCGGGUGCUAACGUCCGUCGUCAAAAGGGAAACAACCCAGACCGCCAGCUAAGGUCCCCAAAUCAUUGCUAAGUGGAAAACGAUGUGGGAAGGCCCAGACAGCCAGGAGGUUGGCUUAGAAGCAGCCACCCUUUAAAGAAAGCGUAAUAGCUCACUGGUCGAGUCGGCCCGCGCGGAAGAUUUAACGGGGCUAAGCAAUGUACCGAAGCUGCGGAUGCAGAUUUAUCUGCAUGGUAGAGGAGCGUUCCGUACGCCUGCGAAGGUGGAUCGAGAGGUCUGCUGGAGGUAUCGGAAGUGCGAAUGCUGACAUGAGUAACGAUAAUGCGGGUGAAAAACCCGCACGCCGAAAGCCCAAGGUUUCCUCGCGCAACGUUAAUCGGCGCAGGGUGAGUCGGCCCCUAAGGCGAGGCAGAAAUGCGUAGUCGAUGGGAAGCAGGUUAAUAUUCCUGCACCAGGUGUUACUGCGAUGGAGAGACGGAGAAGGCUAGGUGUGCCGGGCGAUGGUUGUCCCGGUCCAAGCAGGUAGGCAGGGCCCUUAGGCAAAUCCGGGGGCUCGUUAAUGUCGAGAUGUGAUGGGGAGCGUCCUUUGCGACGCGAAGAGAUUGAUGCCAUGCUUCCAGGAAAAUCUUCUAAGCUUCAGGUAACAACUGACCGUACCGUAAACCGACACAGGUAGGCAGGGUGAGAAUCCCAAGGCGCUUGAGAGAACUCGGGUGAAGGAACUAGGCAAAAUGGUACCGUAACUUCGGGAGAAGGUACGCCCCUGAUGGUGACGAGACUUGCUCUCUGAGCGGUCGGGGGUCGCAGAGACCAGGUGGCUGCGACUGUUUAUUAAAAACACAGCACUCUGCAAACACGUAAGUGGACGUAUAGGGUGUGACGCCUGCCCGGUGCCGGAAGGUUAAGUGAUGGGGUUAGCUUCGGCGAAGCUCUUGAUCGAAGCCCCGGUAAACGGCGGCCGUAACUAUAAGAUCACCGUUGUAGUUACGUAAAAAAACUUGGCUAUAUGCUGGAAACUCCGAUUGUAUCCUCCAGUACUCGCCGCAAUCAGCGGCAGUGACAAUCUGUGAGGUGCGGACAAUCAGCAGGAAAGGCUCCACGGCCCAUUGUGGAGAAUCCUCAGAGACUACACGCCAAGCCAUUUCAGUACUCAGGUCAGUAUUGAAGUGGAUGAUAUAGUCCGAUCUUUAUGGCGACAUAAAGAACCAGGCGGAAACGAUCUGGUCCAUCUUCAGCAUCAGUUUCAACGAUGUACAGAAGAUGAGUAACAACAGCAAGAACGGUCCUAAGGUAGGAUUCGCUGCCUUAGUAAAAUCUGGCUAAAUGCUGGAAACUCCGAUUGUAUCCUCCAGUACUCGUCGCAUUCGGCGGCAGUGACAAUCUGUGAGGUGCGGACAAUCAGCAGGAAAGAGUAUUGAGGACAUUGCAUGACUUUUAAUCCUAGAAAGAUCUCCCCAUCCAUCGGCUAUUACCUUGCGGGGUUUGCCGAUGGUGAAGGAAGCUUCAAUGUGGUUUUUCGCAAACGCAAAGACUACGCCCAACCUUGGAAAGUGAGUUUGUGCUUCAACGUGUCUCAGAAAGAUCGAGUCAUAUUGGCACUGUACAAACGCCACCUCCAAUGCGGCACAUUGCGGCAACGAUCAGACGGGAUUUGGUACUACGAAGUCAACAAUUUCCGGUCGAUACAAGAAAAUGUCAUUCCUUUCUUCAAGCAGUUCGGUUUCUUGU
Molecule: ribosomal RNA, 2662 nt
Filed under: soda lake metagenome
Description: bacterial LSU rRNA
Rfam family: Bacterial large subunit ribosomal RNA (bases 13-1999)
Source: RNAcentral